UAGCGGCAGGCUUAAUACAUGCAAGUCGUGGGGCAGCAUGAGUAGCAAUACUUGAUGGCGACCGGCAAACGGGUGAGGAACACGUACACAACCUUCCUUCAAGCGGGGAAUAGCCCAGAGAAAUUUGGAUUAAUACCCCAUAAUAUAUUUGAUAAGGCAUCUUAUUAAUAUUAAAGCUUCGGCACUUGAUGAUGGGUGUGCGGCUGAUUAGAUAGUUGGCGGGGUAACGGCCCACCAAGUCUACGAUCAGUAGCUGAUGUGAGAGCAUGAUCAGCCACACGGGCACUGAGACACGGGCCCGACUCCUACGGGAGGCAGCAGUAAGGAAUAUUGGACAAUGGACGAAAGUCUGAUCCAGCCAUGCCGCGUGAAGGAUUAAGGUCCUCUGGAUUGUAAACUUCUUUUAUAUGGGACGAAAAAGGGCAUUCUUGUUCACUUGACGGUACCAUAUGAACAAGCACCGGCUAACUCCGUG
RNAcentral lists this ribosomal RNA (475 nucleotides) under uncultured bacterium. Its description in RNAcentral is "bacterial SSU rRNA". It matches the Rfam family "Bacterial small subunit ribosomal RNA", at positions 37 to 507 of the family's 1533-position model. The record is from RNAcentral.